GACGAACGCUGGCGGCGUGCCUAAUACAUGCAAGUUGAGCGCUGAAGGUUGGUACUUGUACCAACUGGAUGAGCAGCGCACGGGUGAGUAACGCGUGGGGAAUCUGCCUUUGAGCGGGGGACAACAUUUGGAAACGAAUGCUAAUACCGCAUAAAAACUUUAAACACAAGUUUUAAGUUUGAAAGAUGCAAUUGCAUCACUCAAAGAUGAUUCCGCGUUGUAUUAGGUAGGUGGUGAGGUAAAGGCUCACCAAGGCGAUGAUACAUAGCCGACCGGAGAGGGUGGUCGGCCGCAUUGGGACGGGGACACGGCCCAAACUCCUUCGGGAGGCGGCAAGAGGGAAACUUCGGCAAGGGGCGGAAGUCUGACCGAACAACGCCGCGGGAGGGAAGAAGGUUUUCGGAUCGGAAAACUCUGUUGGUAGGGAAGAACGGUGGUGAGAGUGGAAAGCUCAUCAAGUGACGGUAACUACCCAGAAAGGAACGGCUAACUACGUG
RNAcentral lists this ribosomal RNA (497 nucleotides) under uncultured bacterium. RNAcentral describes it as "partial 16S ribosomal RNA". It matches the Rfam family "Bacterial small subunit ribosomal RNA", at positions 28 to 507 of the family's 1533-position model. The record is from RNAcentral.